This 161-nucleotide ribosomal RNA is filed under the name uncultured Russula. RNAcentral describes it as "partial 28S ribosomal RNA". It matches the Rfam family "Eukaryotic large subunit ribosomal RNA", at positions 1 to 157 of the family's 3401-position model. The record is from RNAcentral. Lineage: Eukaryota; Fungi; Basidiomycota; Agaricomycetes; Russulales; Russulaceae.
UUUGACCUCAAAUCGGGUGAGACUACCCGCUGAACUUAAGCAUAUCAAUAAGCGGAGGAAAAGAAACUAACGAGGAUUCCCCUAGUAACUGCGAGUGAAGCGGGAAAAGCUCAAAUUUAAAAUCUGGCGGUCUUCGGCCGUCCGAGUUGUAAUUUAGAGAA